Molecule: non-coding RNA, 30 nt
Filed under: Mus musculus (house mouse)
Lineage: Eukaryota; Metazoa; Chordata; Mammalia; Rodentia; Muridae
Source: RNAcentral
UCACUUAUUUUCAACUCCAUUUCUGGUCGC